GAUGAACGCUGGCGGCGUGCCUAAUACAUGCAAGUCGAGCGAACGGACGAGAAGCUUGCUUCUCUGAUGUUAGCGGCGGACGGGUGAGUAACACGUGGAUAACCUACCUAUAAGACUGGGAUAACUUCGGGAAACCGGAGCUAAUACCGGAUAAUAUUUUGAACCGCAUGGUUCAAAAGUGAAAGACGGUCUUGCUGUCACUUAUAGAUGGAUCCGCGCUGCAUUAGCUAGUUGGUAAGGUAACGGCUUACCAAGGCAACGAUGCAUAGCCGACCUGAGAGGGGGAUCGGCCACAGGGGAACUGAGGCACGGGCGAGACGCCUGCGGGAGGAAGCAGGGGGGAAUGUGCCGCAAUGGGCGAAAGCCUGACGGAGGAGGGCCGCGGGAGUGAUGAAGGUGUUCGGAGCGUAAAACUCUGUUAUGGGGGAAGAACAGAUGUGGAAGGAGCUGUGCAGAGCUUGACGGUACCUAAUCAGAAAGCCACGGCUAACUACGUG
This 497-nucleotide ribosomal RNA is filed under the name uncultured bacterium. RNAcentral's name for it is "partial 16S ribosomal RNA". It matches the Rfam family "Bacterial small subunit ribosomal RNA", at positions 28 to 507 of the family's 1533-position model. The record is from RNAcentral.